Molecule: unclassified non-coding RNA, 304 nt
Filed under: plant metagenome
Description: partial contains 5.8S ribosomal RNA, internal transcribed spacer 2, and large subunit ribosomal RNA
Rfam family: 5.8S ribosomal RNA (bases 1-105)
Source: RNAcentral
GAAAUGCGAUAAGUAAUGUGAAUUGCAGAAUUCAGUGAAUCAUCGAAUCUUUGAACGCACAUUGCGCCCGCCAGUAUUCUGGCGGGCAUGCCUGUCCGAGCGUCAUUUCAACCAUCAAGCCCCCGGGCUUGUGUUGGGGACCUGCGGCUGCCCGCAGGCCCUGAAAACCAGUGGCGGGCUCGCGGCGACUCCCAUGCGUAGUAGAAACACCUCGCGUGCGGAUAGCGGUGCGGCCACGCCGUAAAACCCCCGACUUUACCAAGGUUGACCUCGGAUCAGGUAGGAAUACCCGCUGAACUUAAGC